GGAGUCCUACGGGGGGCAGCAGUAGGGAAUUUUCGUCAAUGGGCGCAAGCCUGAACGAGCAAUGCCGCGUGAACGAGGAAGGUCUUCGGAUCGUAAAGUUCUGUUGAAGGGGAAAAAGAGCGGAGAGAGGAAAUGCUUUCUGAUUGAUAUUACCCUUCGAGGAAGUCACGGCUAACUACGUGCCAGCAGCCGCGGUAAUACGUAGGUGGCGAGCGUUAUCCGGAAUGAUUGGGCGUAAAGGGUGCGAAGGCGG
This 253-nucleotide ribosomal RNA is filed under the name uncultured bacterium. RNAcentral's name for it is "partial 16S ribosomal RNA". It matches the Rfam family "Bacterial small subunit ribosomal RNA", at positions 333 to 578 of the family's 1533-position model. The record is from RNAcentral.